GAAUUGCGAUAAGUAAUGUGAAUUGCAGAUUUUCAGUGAAUCAUCGAAUCUUUGAACGCACCUUGCGCUCCUUGGUAUUCCGAGGAGCAUACCUGUUUGAGUGUCAUUAUAAUUCUCAACCCAUGUCUCGUAACCGCGAGGCUUGGCUUGGAGUUGGGGGUUGCUGGCGGCGAAGGUCGUCAGCUCUCCUGAAACGUAUUAGCAAAGGGCAGCAAGCCUGUGACGUGGCACGGCCUUUUCGACGUGAUAACGAUCGUCGUGGGCUGGAAGCGGUCUGGGCAUGCAUGGAUUGUCUUGUUUGCUUCCGAAUUCACCUUUCCAACAUCAGACUUUUGGAGACCUCGAGCGAAGGAUCGGCUCAGUUAUUAGUUGGUCGCGAGGCCGACGAACGCAGACCAGGCCUGAGUUUGGAGUCUUUGUGGGUCUGGUCUUGGUUUUUGAAACAUUGACCUCAAAUCAGGUAGGACUACCCGCUGAACUUAA
RNAcentral lists this ribosomal RNA (483 nucleotides) under Xerocomellus chrysenteron. RNAcentral describes it as "eukaryotic LSU rRNA". The stretch from base 1 to 106 matches the Rfam family "5.8S ribosomal RNA", at positions 50 to 154 of the family's 154-position model. The record is from RNAcentral. Lineage: Eukaryota; Fungi; Basidiomycota; Agaricomycetes; Boletales; Boletaceae.